This 909-nucleotide ribosomal RNA is filed under the name methanogenic prokaryote enrichment culture B31_1_18. RNAcentral's name for it is "bacterial SSU rRNA". It matches the Rfam family "Bacterial small subunit ribosomal RNA", at positions 8 to 915 of the family's 1533-position model. The record is from RNAcentral.
AGAGUUUGAUCAUGGCUCAGGAUGAACGCUAGCGGCAGACUUAACACAUGCAAGUCGAGGGGCAUCACGAGUAGCAAUACUUGGUGGCGACCGGCGCAAGGGUGCGUAACGCGUGAGCAACAUGCCCGUAUCAGGGGGAUAAUCCAGGGAAACUUGGUCUAAUACCCCAUAGCAAUUGAAGGAGGCAUCUUCUUUGAUUUAAAGCUUUGGUGGAUACGGAUUGGCUCGCGUGACAUUAGCUAGAUGGUAAGGUAACGGCUUACCAUGGCUACGAUGUCUAGGGGUUCUGAGAGGAAGGUCCCCCACACUGGAACUGAGACACGGUCCAGACUCCUACGGGAGGCAGCAGUGGGGAAUAUUGGACAAUGGAUGGAAAUCUGAUCCAGCCAUGCCGCGUGCAGGAAGACGGCCCUAUGGGUUGUAAACUGCUUUUAUAUGGGAGCAAUAAGACCUACGUGUAGGUCGAUGAGAGUACCAUAUGAAUAAGCACCGGCUAACUCCGUGCCAGCAGCCGCGGUAAUACGGAGGGUGCAAGCGUUAUCCGGAUUUAUUGGGUUUAAAGGGUGCGUAGGCGGUUUGAUAAGUCAGCGGUGAAAUAUUUCAGCUUAACUGGAAGGGUGCCGUUGAUACUGUCGAGCUUGAAUUUAGUUGCUGUGGGUGGAAUGUGUGGUGUAGCGGUGAAAUGCAUAGAUAUCACACAGAAUAUCGAUUGCGAAGGCAGCUCACAAAGCUAAUAUUGACGCUGAUGCACGAAAGUGUGGGGAUCAAACAGGAUUAGAUACCCUGGUAGUCCACACUGUAAACGAUGAUAACUCGCUGUCGGCGAUACACAGUCGGUGGCCAAGCGAAAGCGAUAAGUUAUCCACCUGGGGAGUACGACCGCAAGGUUGAAACUCAAAGGAAUUGACG